UAGUUGGUGGGGUAAUGGCCUACCAAGGCGACGAUCAGUAGCGGGUCUGAGAGGAUGAUCCGCCACACUGGAACUGAGACACGGUCCAGACUCCUACGGGAGGCAGCAGUGGGGAAUUUUGGACAAUGGGCGAAAGCCUGAUCCAGCCAUUCCGCGUGAGUGAAGAAGGCCUUCGGGUUGUAAAGCUCUUUCAGCUGGAACGAAACGGUACGCUCUAACAUAGCGUGCUAAUGACGGUACCAGCAGAAGAAGCACCGGCUAACUACGUGCCAGCAGCCGCGGUAAUACGUAGGGUGCGAGCGUUAAUCGGAAUUACUGGGCGUAAAGCGUGCGCAGGCGGAUUGUUAAGCAAGAUGUGAAAUCCCCGGGCUUAACCUGGGAAUGGCAUUUUGAACUGGCAGUCUAGAGUGCGUCAGAGGGGGGUGGAAUUCCACGUGUAGCAGUGAAAUGCGUAGAUAUGUGGAGGAACACCAAUGGCGAAGGCAGCCCCCUGGGAUGACACUGACGCUCAUGUACGAAAGCGUGGGUAGCAAACAGGAUUAGAUACCCUGGUAGUCCACGCCCUAAACGAUGUCAACUGGUUGUUGGGGGAGUGAAAUCCCUUAGUAACGAAGCUAACGCGUGAAGUUGACCGCCUGGGGAGUACGGUCGCAAGAUUAAAACUCAAAGGAAUUGACGGGGACCCGCACAAGCGGUGGAUGAUGUGGAUUAAUUCGGUGCAACGCGAAAAACCUUACCUACCCUUGACAUGUCCAGAAUCCUGCAGAGAUGCGGGAGUGCCCGAAAGGGAAUUGGAACACAGGUGCUGCAUGGCUGUCGUCAGCUCGUGUCGUGAGAUGUUGGGUUAAGUCCCGCAACGAGCGCAACCCUUAUCAUUAGUUGCUACGCAAGGGCACUCUAAUGAGACUGCCGG
This 913-nucleotide ribosomal RNA is filed under the name uncultured bacterium. Its description in RNAcentral is "bacterial SSU rRNA". It matches the Rfam family "Bacterial small subunit ribosomal RNA", at positions 246 to 1155 of the family's 1533-position model. The record is from RNAcentral.